Long non-coding RNA from Girardinichthys multiradiatus, 356 nucleotides. RefSeq lists it as uncharacterized. Lineage: Eukaryota; Metazoa; Chordata; Actinopteri; Cyprinodontiformes; Goodeidae. The record is from RefSeq and is a predicted model, not a curated record. The transcript has 2 exons.
CCUACUGUGGUAGUGUUAACCUGGCCAGCCUUUCCAGAAUCUUGGAAGAUCCCCUUGUUUUGAGCCUUGAUUAAUUGUCUGUUUCUUCCCUUCAUCUUAGGCUGUUCAAGCUGAGCCGCCGAGCUGGGUUUCUCCAUCUGGGACUCACCUCCCGUCAAGAUUGGAUUCUGCUGCACCUGUCUACCCACCUUGCUUACCUGGAACAUCGGAGCGUUCCAGCCGGUUCUGCACAGGCUCACGCCCCAGACUUGUACCCGUCUCUACCCCCCUGGCGGAUCGAUCGCCUCCUGAAUACCUGACUUCUGACCACUCUGCUCGCCUCGUUCCUGAAACUGAGAAAUAAAACUUUAAAUCUA